Molecule: ribosomal RNA, 395 nt
Filed under: uncultured bacterium
Lineage: Bacteria
Description: partial 16S ribosomal RNA
Rfam family: Bacterial small subunit ribosomal RNA
Source: RNAcentral
CCUACGUGCGGCAGCAGUGAGGAAUAUUGGUCAAUGGGCGCGAGCCUGAACCAGCCAAGUAGCGUGAAGGAUGACUGCCCUACGGGUUGUAAACUUCUUUUAUAAAGGAAUAAAGUCAGGCUCGUGUGCCUUUUUGUAUGUACUUUAUGAAUAAGCAUCGGCUAACUCCGUGCCAGCAGCCGCGGUAAUACGGAGGAUCCGAGCGUUAUCCGGAUUUAUUGGGUUUAAAGGGGGCGUAGUGGGGUUGUUAAGUCAGUUGUGAAAGUAUGCGGCUCAACCGUAAGAUUGCAAUUGAUACUGGCAGUCUUGAGAAGAGUGGAGGUAGGCGGAAUUCGUGGUGUAGCGGUGAAAUGCUUAGAUAUCACGAAGAACUCCGAUUGCGAAGGCAGCUUACU